UGCGGCCCUCGCGCCGCCCCGCCGUCGCAGGCUGCUUUCCAUCUCCAAAGGGCUGCUGCCUGCAAAAUACAGUGUUGGAUUAGAGCUGUUCAUUUAAUGAGAAAAGGACGAACAUCAUUUUUGGAACAAAAAAGUAGUGCAGUGAUUAUACAACAGUGGUAUCGAAAUAUGCGUUCAACAAAAUUACAGCAACAAGAGCACCAAAAACUGAGGUUAAUAGUGAUACACAUUCAACAGAAAUACAGGGAUACAUUGUUGAUGAAAUGAUAGAAAUAUUUAUCAGAGGAAAAGGUGGGCAUCUGUUAUUAUUCAGAGAUGGUUUCGAGCCACUCUUAAUAUGAAACGUCAGCGUGAUUUGUAUUUGACACAGAGAUGUUGUAUUAUUACUAUACAGAGAUGGUUCAGGAGUGUUUGGUCCAAAAGAGAAAGAGAAGCAAUACGAAAAGUACUAGUUCCCAUAUCCCAAUCAGAAAUUGAAAAUCGUGCUGCGCUCAAAAUACAGGCCUUUUGGAGGGGUUUUGCUGCACGAAAGCGGCUGCCUAGUAACUGCUUAAGUCUGAAAAAUAGAGGUGUUACCAGAAACCCCUCGCAACCUGUUCAGACAUUGCGGUGGAAGUACACAAAUAUUCUGAGGUGCUUUGAACAGAAUUCCCUGGGACAGUUGAUCAUGCUCUUCGAGUCUCUAACUUCUUUGACAACUGUCUAGAGAUGUAUGUAAAGAUUUUUCUGCAAGUGAAUACCUACCAAAAGUUUUCGUUGAACUUAAACUAGCAAAUCGUUCAUUUGCAUAUCAGAGACUGUUCAUUUGGAACACAGUUACUCUUGAAUCUGGCAAAAUACCCAGAAAACAGGGACAACAUUUGGCAGGUUGAUGAGGCCCUAGAAAUUGUUUCGACUGAUGAUGCAGUUUAUGGGAACACAGUUACCAAUAUUCUCCAAUUGCUGCAAAGUACUUCGGUUGCUUGCUGAUGAUCCUUUGAAAGCACAAACGACGGACGACGGACGGCGGCGGUGUCGGCGAGCGGCGGCAGGCGCGUCGAUCACGCGCGGGCGCAGCAGGCGGCGGGCGACAGCACGGAC
This is a long non-coding RNA of Schistocerca nitens (vagrant locust), 1080 nucleotides long. RefSeq lists it as uncharacterized. The transcript is spliced from 5 exons. The record is from RefSeq and is a predicted model, not a curated record. NCBI's taxonomy places the organism in Eukaryota, Metazoa, Arthropoda, Insecta, Orthoptera, Acrididae.